UUUUUUUUUUUUUUUUUUAAACAUGGUGACCCUGGAGCUCAUUCUGGAAAUACUCCUUCCAUGUCAGCUUGUCCUUUCAUAUGGUCUGUGUUUGCGUUGAUUCCUUAAGAGGGAGUUUAGUGACCUCAAAGAAAUUAUAUUCCAUUUAAUAGAUACAAUAUGUGAAUGAUGAUAAAAUACUAAAUUGCAAAAAAUUAAAAAUAGAAUGUCAACUGGUAACUGAGGUCUCUCCACAUUUACUUUUUCGGGGGCCCCCGAGUGGCUCAGUAGGUUAAGUGUCAGACACUUGACUUCGGCUCAGGUCAUCACCUCAGGGUCAUGAGACUGAGCACCAGGUCAGGCUCUAUGCUCAGCAGGGAGUCUGCUUGGGAUUCUCUCUCUCCCGCUGCCCCUCCUCCCACUCACGUGCUCUCUUUUUCUCUCUCUCCCUAAAAUAAAAAAAUAAAACAAAAUCUUUUUUUAAUAAAGAGACGUAAGUGAUAAAAGAAAAAAAAAACUGAGGAAAGUUUUGUGAGGUUUUUUUUUGGAAGAUGUUCAAGAAACCUUUCUGGAGUGUAUUCUUAGAACCAGUCCUUCUUCAAAACACUGUGGAUGGAGCACCUAGAGUCCACUGUUUCCACCAAUAGGAUGCUCACAGCUUGCUAUAUGUGAAUACUUUCCCUAGAAUACUCUGCUAAAGCAAUAUAUCAAUAAUCAAAUCAUGAAUAUUAUCAUAGACAAUUGAUUUUAAUGAUUUCAAGUUCAUAAUUCUGAGACAACUUAUCUUCAUGCAUUGGGAGGGCAGGGAAUGAUCCAGUUUUGAAUGACAGCAUCAACAACUCUAAGACCUGUUUCAUUCUGACAAUCUCAAAUCAUUAAUAUGAUUACUCCAUUUUAUGACAAACCAUCUCUAAAAUGCAUAAAAGUUCUAAUCAUUAACUUUGACAUAAAAGUAGUAAAUUGUACCAAUUUUAAAAUUGCACUUCAUGAAAUCCCACUAUAUUCAUUUAAGGCACUCUUUCAGACCUGGUAAUCUCUUUAUUACAUCCUCUGAUUUAUAAGAAGCAUAUAUAUUGAAUUGUAUACCCUGCUGAAUUCUCAAAUUUUAAGUAAUAUAUACAAAUACGCCUAUAAACAAGUGGUAUUGCAUGUAGGAAUCCAUUAAGUAAAUGUCAGUGCAUUUCAUCUGUUAUUUUCUUAAUUUUUAAUUUUUACUGGAAAACAGUAUUGAAUAUCUUAUAUGGAGAACUUACUUUUAUGCACAAAAGUUAAAAUUAUGUUUCACGCUACCAAUUAACAUUUUGUACAUCACAGCAGGAUUGACUAUAUUGAUACCUAUCAAAUUAUAUAAUUGCUAGAUAGAUAUAAAAGGACUAUGCAGAAGAACAUAAAAAGGGUGGCAAAUUACUCCCUUCUUUUAAAUCCACACCUUUCCAAUGAGAUAGUGCAGAUUCUCUAAGUAAGAAGUGGAGUCUGUUUCCUGAAAUUUUAAAUUUGGGUUGCUAUGUGAAAUGGUUUGGCCAAGAAAACAUUAGAUCAGGUUACAAGUGAACCUCGAACAGUUUGUGCUCGGGCUUGCUGUCUUGCUGCACUUUGAAGCAUGUGAAGAGUUUGGGCUACCUGCUGGAAGAUGAAAGAUCCUUUGAGGUGCAGACAAGGCAUCUCAGCUAAGUCCUGUCCCCCAGUCACCUGUUAGCCAUUUGGUAGUUCUGGUGUUAACUGCCAGGCACAUUUACUCCAGUAAAUGGUAAACACACUUAGUUCGGUACUGCUAUAGAGGUGUGUUUCUCCUGGCACUUCUCUAUCUGGAUCUGCUAUUUCAUUAUAUUUAUGAAGUCUAACUCUGGGUCUCUCAUUAGAAAUUUUUUUUUUAGCUUCUGUCCCAAACUAGACUGACUGCUUCCCACUAAAUUCAGAAGAUAUUUCUAUGAUUCCUUUGCUACUACCUUCUCUAAUUAUUUUUGCAACAUGAGCAGUUGUAUUUACAGGAGUUUCCUUCAAAAGCAAAUGUGCUUGAUGAAAUGCUUUCUGCCCCAAGCACUGGUGAUGGAAAAAUCAUUCAGACAUUACUGGGUUUGGGUAUUAGUGCUUAAGAGAGGGCUAAGUACCUUUAGCUGGACAAUGAUACUCUGAGGGGGCAAACAGAGCCAAGAAGGUAGUUCACAGUACUUAAAGUCUCUUUGUCUGUUUUGUUUCAUGUUUAUUGCAAAGAUCUGGCCAAAACCAACUGUCUCUUCCUGAAGUAGACCUCCAUUUCUUUGCUACCAUCCAAUGGCAUCUGAGUGGCAUUUGUUUAACCAUAUAAUAUACAAAUUGCUAAUGUAGGAGCAGGUAUCUAUAUGAAGUGUUAUUUCAAAGACUGAUAAGAAAUAAACCCUAUUGUCAAGGAAAACUCUCUACUUCCAUUAUAAAAAAAAAAGCUACAUAUGGAGAAAAAUAAGUAUUAGUAGGGAGCCCUUUAUUAAAAAUUUACACAAUGACUACAUUUUAAAACUCCUAACUUUUUGAAAUGAUGAAAAAGAAAAAAGAAACAUAUCAUUAUUGACUACAAUUAUCUAUUUAUCUAUCUUCUUGAUUAUACAUAUAUAAUCCCUCUCAGAUGAAUGCCUCAAAUGCCCACAUGUCUAUAAUCCAGGAUAAAAACUGUACCCAAUGAUUAUUCCUAUUCAAACUUUCUAUUUCAGCUAGAAGUGUGCUAGUUAAGUGCCCUUAUAGUUUGGAAGGAUAAAAGGUGGCCCUGCCAGCAUUCAGAG
Molecule: long non-coding RNA, 2732 nt
Filed under: Canis lupus familiaris (dog)
Lineage: Eukaryota; Metazoa; Chordata; Mammalia; Carnivora; Canidae
Description: lncRNA (ENSCAFG00845019824.1)
Source: RNAcentral